RNAcentral lists this long non-coding RNA (437 nucleotides) under Ananas comosus (pineapple). RNAcentral describes it as "long non-coding RNA (ACOM_LNC020051)". Lineage: Eukaryota; Viridiplantae; Streptophyta; Magnoliopsida; Poales; Bromeliaceae. The record is from RNAcentral.
UUCUCCCCUAUAUUUGCACGGGGUCGCACAAGUACAAGAUAUAUAAUACAAGAUACAACCACCAUAAUGAACAUACACAUAUUCUACACCAUUCACAUUCACAUCACAUCCAUAAUUUAUCCAUAAAUCCACAACUAUUAGUUUAAAAUGUUUCCUAUCCGGAAACUCGUUUUAAAAACACUAAGUCAUGAAAACCAAGAAAACCUUUUAAAAAUCGUUUCCGACACGGAAACCUUUUUCUUUUAAAACUCGCUACCACGAGGGGUAGAAAAUCAUUUUCAUUUCACAAAAAUCCACAAAUUCUUUAUUACAUUCACGAAAACUCAAAUAUUCAAUUUACAUAAAAAUACUGAACCAUAAAUGCAGUCUAAGUUGUUUAUUUAAAGAAACUGAGUUUAGAGUUAAACCAAAAGACGGGACGGUGGCUCUAUCGAUCG